GCUGUGGGUCCCCUAGGACAAGAUUGAAAACCACUGGUCUAAACUGGUAUUAACUAUUCCUGGUAAAUCGCGGAGAAGAGUGGCCUGAACAAAAAAGUCAGACCGAGACUAGAACCGCCCGCAGCGUAACACGGAAAUCUUGGAACAAAAGAGACGCAGAGUGGCUCGUGUUGUCCGGUUUGGAUAUCAGCGGCAAAGCGAACGUUGUGUGUACUAUUGCAAAAUAUAUAGCGGAUCUCCACGGUUAGGAUACAGACCACAACGCUUUGGACGUAUCUUUAAAAAAGAGAAAAAUCAGAGACUUUUUGGAUUUGUCUGGGGACAUUUUAAACAUUUUGUGGCAAAUUGGAUUUAAAACAUUUCGGAUAUUGGAUACCUAGUUUGAUUUGUCCACAGAGCUUGUUUAAGACGUUUUCACCUCAUUUUAGGGUUUAUUUUUAAUUAAAGGCUUCUUAAAACAUGUAUGAAAAUGUGUAUAUUAUACAAUGAGUCUUAUAUU
Molecule: non-coding RNA, 499 nt
Organism: Paramisgurnus dabryanus
Lineage: Eukaryota; Metazoa; Chordata; Actinopteri; Cypriniformes; Cobitidae
Source: RefSeq, a predicted model, not a curated record